GACGAACGCUGGCGGCGUGCUUAACACAUGCAAGUCGAACGAUGAAACCGGAGCUUGCUCCGGUGGAUUAGUGGCGAACGGGUGAGUAACACGUGAGUAACCUGCCCUUGACUCUGGGAUAACUGCGGGAAACUGUAGCUAAUACCGGAUACGACCCUCGGAGGCAUCUCCUGGGGGUGGAAAGAAUUUCGGUCAAGGAUGGACUCGCGGCCUAUCAGCUAGCUGGUGAGGUAACGGCUCACCAAGGCGACGACGGGUAGCCGGCCUGAGAGGGUGACCGGCCACAGUGGGACUGAGACACGGCCCAGACUCCUACGGGAGGCAGCAGUGGGGAAUAUUGCACAAUGGGCGCAAGCCUGAUGCAGCAACGCCGCGUGAGGGAUGACGGCCUUCGGGUUGUAAACCUCUUUUAGCAGGGUAGAAGCGAAAGUGACGGUACCUGCAGAAAAAGCACCGGCUAACUACGUGCCAGCCGCCGCCGUAA
RNAcentral lists this ribosomal RNA (484 nucleotides) under uncultured bacterium. Its description in RNAcentral is "partial 16S ribosomal RNA". It matches the Rfam family "Bacterial small subunit ribosomal RNA", at positions 28 to 523 of the family's 1533-position model. The record is from RNAcentral.